This 484-nucleotide ribosomal RNA is filed under the name uncultured bacterium. RNAcentral describes it as "partial 16S ribosomal RNA". It matches the Rfam family "Bacterial small subunit ribosomal RNA", at positions 29 to 507 of the family's 1533-position model. The record is from RNAcentral.
AUUGAACGCUGGCAGCAUGCUUUACACAUGCAAGUCGAACGGCAGCGCGGGCUUCGGCCUGGCGGCGAGUGGCGAACGGGUGAGUAAUACAUCGGAACGUGCCCAGUAGUGGGGGAUAGCUCGGCGAAAGCCGGAUUAAUACCGCAUACGACCUGAGGGUGAAAGCGGGGGAUCUUCGGACCUCGCGCUAUUGGAGCGGCCGAUGGCAGAUUAGCUAGUUGGUGGGGUAAAGGCCUACCAAGGCGACGAUCUGUAGCUGGUCUGAGAGGACGACCAGCCACACUGGGACUGAGACACGGCCCAGACUCCUACGGGAGGCAGCAGUGGGGAAUUUUGGACAAUGGGCGAAAGCCUGAUCCAGCAAUGCCGCGUGUGUGAUGAAGGCCUUCGGGUUGUAAAGCACUUUUGGCGGGAACGAAAAGGACUGUGCCAAUACCACGGUUCGAUGACGGUACCCGCAGAAUAAGCACCGGCUAACUACGUG